GUGGGGAAUAUUGGACAAUGGGCGCAAGCCUGAUCCAGCAAUGCCGCGUGCAGGAAGAAGGCCUUCGGGUUGUAAACUGCUUUUGUACGGAACGAAACGGUCCGGGUUAAUACCCUGGGCUAAUGACGGUACCGUAAGAAUAAGCACCGGCUAACUACGUGCCAGCAGCCGCGGUAAUACGUAGGGUGCAAGCGUUAAUCGGAAUUACUGGGCGUAAAGCGUGCGCAGGCGGUUUUGUAAGACAGGCGUGAAAUCCCCGGGCUCAACCUGGGAAUUGCGCUUGUGACUGCAAGGCUGGAGUGCGGCAGAGGGGGAUGGAAUUCCGCGUGUAGCAGUGAAAUGCGUAGAUAUGCGGAGGAACACCGAUGGCGAAGGCAAUCCCCUGGGCCUGCACUGACGCUCAUGCACGAAAGCGUGGGGAGCAAACAGGAUUAGAAACCCUAGUAGUCC
RNAcentral lists this ribosomal RNA (450 nucleotides) under uncultured bacterium. RNAcentral describes it as "partial 16S ribosomal RNA". It matches the Rfam family "Bacterial small subunit ribosomal RNA", at positions 354 to 796 of the family's 1533-position model. The record is from RNAcentral.